UACGUAGGGGGCAAGCGUUGUCCGGAUUUAUUGGGCGUAAAGAGCGUGUAGGCGGCCAUACAGGUCCGUUGUGAAAACUGGAGGCUUAACCUCCAGACGUCGAUGGAAACCGUAUGGCUAGAGUCCGGAAGAGGAGAGUGGAAUUCCUGGUGUAGCGGUGGAAUGCGCAGAUAUCAGGAGGAACACCGGUGGCGAAGGCGGGUCUCUGGGCAGUAACUGACGCUGAGGAGCGAAAGCCAGGGGAGCAAACGGG
RNAcentral lists this ribosomal RNA (253 nucleotides) under uncultured bacterium. Its description in RNAcentral is "partial 16S ribosomal RNA". It matches the Rfam family "Bacterial small subunit ribosomal RNA", at positions 524 to 776 of the family's 1533-position model. The record is from RNAcentral.